CCAAUAGCGUAUAUUAAAGUUGUUGUGGUUAAAAAGCUCGUAGUUGAACCUUGGGCCUGGCUGGCCGGUCCGCCUCACCGCGUGUACUGGUCCGGCCGGGCCUUUCCCUCUGUGGAACCCCAUGCCCUUCACUGGGUGUGGCGGGGAAACAGGACUUUUACUGUGAAAAAAUUAGAGUGCUCCAGGCAGGCCUAUGCUCGAAUACAUUAGCAUGGAAUAAUAGAAUAGGACGUGUGGUUCUAUUUUGUUGGUUUCUAGGACCGCCGUAAUGAUUAAUAGGGACAGUCGGGGGCAGCAGUAUUCAAUUGUCAGAGGUGAAAUUCUUGGAUUUAUUGAAGACUAACUACUGCGAAAGCAUUUGCCAAGGAUGUUUUCAUUAAUCAGGAACGAAAGUUAGGGGAUCGAAGACGAUCAGAUACCGUCGUAGUCUUAACCAUAAACUAUGCCGACUAGGGAUCGGACGGUGUUAUUUUUUGACCCGUUCGGCACCUUACG
RNAcentral lists this unclassified non-coding RNA (495 nucleotides) under uncultured Glomeromycotina. RNAcentral's name for it is "SSU rRNA". It matches the Rfam family "Eukaryotic small subunit ribosomal RNA", at positions 591 to 1092 of the family's 1831-position model. The record is from RNAcentral. Lineage: Eukaryota; Fungi; Glomeromycota.